GUUAAGAGCACUAACUGCUCUUCCAGAGGUCCUGAGUUUAAUUCCCAGCAACCAUCUGUUGGCUCACAACCAUCUGUAACCCGAUGCCCUCUUCUGGUGUGUCUGAAGAUAGCAACAGUGUACUCAUAUACAUAAAAUAGAACAUCUUCAGAUUAUAGAAAGCUAACUUCAUUGGUAAGUUCCACGUGUUUGAAGAAUAAAAGAACAGAUCAGUCUUAGUCGGUGAUCUAUUGCUGUGAGGAAACACUGACCAUGGCAACUCUUAGAAAGGAAAGCAUUUAAUUGAAGGCUUGCUUACAGAUUCAGAGAUUCAGUCUGUUGUCAUCAUGGCAGGUAGCAUGACAGCAGGCACAUUCUGGCAAACAUGGUGCUUGAGAAGUAACUGAGAGCUACAUUUAAAAACAAAACAAAAAACCUUUUCUUGAUUCUUUGUGAAUUUUACAUCAUACACCAGAACCCCACUCAUCUCACCUUGCAACUCCUCCCCCAAAAGAAAGAAAAAUUUCGUUGUGCAAGCUGUAGUGUGUCCCACAAUAUACCGCUUUGUCCACACAUCUUUACUUGCAAAUGUUCAUUGCAACGAGUCAUUGAUUUGGUGGUUCGUUGCCCCAGGCUUCUGCCACACUUUUAAUACUGGAUCCUUACUAGCACUCCUCUCAGAUAUCCUGUUGUUGUCCUGUAUCAUGGAGAACCUGCAGCUUUAGCUUUGCAGUAUUGGCCCCUUCAUGCAAUAGUAGUUCAUAGAUGGGUAGAUGAUGGGGUGGGCCAACUCAAAGCUCUGGAUCUGGUCUAGGUAAUAGAUGCGUUGGUCAGCCUGCCAGCUUCCUGCCCAAGCACCCACUGGUACCACCAGUGCAAGCUUUCCAGCACUGCCCUAGCUCACCCAGUGCUGCAGCUGGCAAGGGACAGGGCCAGCUCUCCUGCUCUCAUGCCCUCAGGUCCAGCUCACCAGCACUUUGCCACUGUGGUCUGCUCUACUGUGCUGCCUUCGUCCUGGAGGUACAGUGCCCAUUCUCCCAAGUGCUGUAGCCUGCAAAGGGCUUUCUUGAUCUUAUGAUGGAGGUAGGAGGGUAAGGACAGGCAGAGGGUUGAGCAACAUCUCUUUUGCACCCUUGUAAGAGCUACAGUCUUACCCCGUUAGAGAAAGAGUGUGGUUCAUGCUUUUUCCCACUCUCCGUGACACACAUUCUUCAAUAAGGCCAUGCCUCCUAAUAAUAUGUAUUAUUGUAUUCAACUAUAUGAUCCUAUAUGGACCAUUUUUACUCAAAUCAGCACAGGGUCAAAGAUGUCCUGUUUUGAAGAAACUCUGUCUCUACCCAGCCUUGAAAAUAAGAGUGAUGCCAGGAAACUAUGGAGCAAUUAAGAGAAGACCCCCGAAGUUUAAAAUAUCCAGGAUAUGCUGUUACCCUCUAUUAAUGAAGCAGAACAGAUAUUGUUGCAUUCCCAAAAAUUUCCACAGAGGAAACUCAGCAUCUGCCUAUGCUUUUUUCCCCCUAACAUAAACAGAUGCUGAAGUUGCCUGUGCUGUGUGUGAUUGCUACAGUCACAGUGAAAACUAUAAAGUGUCUUUAAGAGAGGAACAACACCGUCCCUCUUUUAGCUAUAUUAAUGCUAUACUCUCACACAAAGGGAAAGAGCAUAUGGGGACAGCUUGUGUUUUCUCAAGUUUCCUGUGCUUGACCUGUGAAUUCCUGUGACUGUCUGCUAGGCACUUAAAGGCCUGAAAGUAAACUCUUCCUUUAUUUUAUGCCAGGCAUUAUUUAAAAGUAGAUUUACCACCUAUACAAAAAUGGCAGUCAGCAGUGCUAACGUACAGUUUCAUUCUAAAGGUAAAAUGUCAUAGGAGAUGAAUGCCCAUUUGAUUGUGUUUCCUGUCAUUGGAGGUGGCCAAAGUGUGCUAGGAGUUUAAAGGAAACUGGAUUUUUUUAACCCCAGUAUAAUAGGAAAGAUGUAUUUUAUAAAUAUUAGUAUGACAAAAUCAAAUAUAUUCAAGUGAUUUAGCUUAUAGGUACUUUUAGCAAGAUUUCAAAAAAAGUUAUAUGACUUUCAAAAUUAGUAUAACAGGAUACUAACCACAUGUACAAAUACAAAUGUACAUGUAUAAAUUUUUGGGUUUUUUAAAAACAUAGUGGGCCUAAAUGAGAUACAAAAAAAAUCUGAAAGCAUUGCCCUUUCUGAAUUCUAGCUAAUGCCAUGUAUAUUGUCAGCAUGACACCAGGAGGUAUGCUAUCCUAUUUGGAACUAAUACCAUUUUUUAAAAACUUGAUAUUUUAAAUUUUGGUAUUUUAAUAUAUUAAAUCUUUUGUUGUUCAGCCAUAAUUUUCUUUUGAUAUAUAAGUGUAAUAUUUUUUGAUGCUUAGCCUAAAGGGAUUAAAAAAAAUCCAUUUUGUAAAUGUGGUAAAAAUUUAAGUGUUUUAAUGAUAAUAAUAAGGUACAUUAAGAUAAUCUUAACAUCUUGAAAAACC
This 2465-nucleotide long non-coding RNA is filed under the name Mus musculus (house mouse). Its description in RNAcentral is "long non-coding RNA chr1:159271254-159273719". The record is from RNAcentral. Lineage: Eukaryota; Metazoa; Chordata; Mammalia; Rodentia; Muridae.